RNAcentral lists this ribosomal RNA (1197 nucleotides) under metagenome. RNAcentral's name for it is "bacterial SSU rRNA". It matches the Rfam family "Eukaryotic small subunit ribosomal RNA", at positions 558 to 1766 of the family's 1831-position model. The record is from RNAcentral.
AGUCUGGUGCCAGGAGCCGCGGUAAUCCCAGCUCCAAGAGUGUAUAUUAAAGUUGUUGCGGUUAAAAAGCUCGUAGUUGAAUUUCUGAAAAUAAUUUUAAAAUUGAUUUAACCGUCAUGAUUAAACAUUGUUAUCAUACUUAUUAUAUGGAAACAUAUAAUUAAAUUACUUUGAAAAAAUUAGAGUGUUCAAAGCAAGAUUCACAUCUGAAUAAUACAGCAUGGGAUAAUAAAAUAUGACAUUAGUUAAAAUUUGUUGGUUUCUUUGGCUAAUGUAAUGAUUAAAAGGGACAGUUGGGGUAAUUUAUAUUGGUCGGGGAGGGGUGAAAUCCUAUGAUCCUUCCAAGAUAAACUAGUGCGAAAGCAUUUUACCAGGAUGUUUUCAUUAAUCAAGAACGAAAGAUGGGGGAUCGAAGAUGAUCAGAUACCGUCGUAGUCUCAACCAUAAACUAUGUCGACUAAGGAUGAUAAAAUAUUAAAUGAAUGAUUUUUGUCGCACUUUACAAGAAAUUAUAAGUAUUCAGACUCCGGGGGGAGUAUGGUCGCAAGGCUGAAACUUAAAGGAAUUGACGGAAGGGCACCACCAGGAGUGGAACCUGCGGCUUAAUUUGACCCAACACGGGGAAACUUACUAGGUCAGGACACAGUAAGGAUUGACAGAUUGAAAGCUCUUUCUUGAUUUUGUGGGUGGUGGUGCAUGGCCGUUUUUAGUUGGUGGAUUGAUUUGUCUGGUUAAUUCCGAAAACGAACGAGACCUUAACCUGUUAACUAUGUGAUAUUAAAAUUCGAUUUAGGUCUAAUACUUUGAUAUUAAAAAUUAAAUACUUCUUAAAGGAACAAUUCAAACUUUAAUUGAAAGGAAGUUUAAGGCAAAAACAGGUCUGUGAUGCCCUUCGAUGUUCUGGGCUGCACGCGCGUUACACUGAUAUGUUCAAUAAGUUUUUAAAUUUCCUGGUUUGAAAAGACUUGGUAAACUUUGAAAAGCAUAUCGUGAUUGGGAUAGUAUUUUGUAAUUAUCGCACUUGAACGAGGAGUUCCUAGUAGGGGCAAUUCAUCAAAUUGCCCCGAUUACGUCCCCGCCCUUUGUACACACCGCCCGUCGCUUCUACCGAUUGAAUAAUACGAUGAGGAUUCAGGAUCGAAUAAAAUUAAUUGUUUGAAAGAAUGGUUAAGAUUAUUUGCUAAUUUAUUCAAAUCU